Non-coding RNA from Podarcis lilfordi (Lilford's wall lizard), 142 nucleotides. NCBI's taxonomy places the organism in Eukaryota, Metazoa, Chordata, Lepidosauria, Squamata, Lacertidae. The record is from the annotation of a GenBank genome assembly.
UUCUGUAUCAAAGCAAUCCAAAUUUUGCAAACUAAGAAACUGUGUAGUUUCUUAAAAUCUUGGGGAUGGGGGUGAAUCUGGAAAAGGUGAUAAAACUACACAGUUUCUUAGUUUGCAAAAUUUGGAUUGCUUUGAUACAGAU